Long non-coding RNA from Chroicocephalus ridibundus (black-headed gull), 1622 nucleotides. RefSeq lists it as uncharacterized. The record is from RefSeq and is a predicted model, not a curated record. The transcript is spliced from 3 exons. NCBI's taxonomy places the organism in Eukaryota, Metazoa, Chordata, Aves, Charadriiformes, Laridae.
CGGAACUCCGCUCUGGGUCCGUCCCCCCCGCCGCCGCCGCCGGGGCGGGAAGCGGAGCCGCCCCGGCGCUGUCUGAGGGCCGGCCCCCGCCGCCACAGGGAGGGGACGGGAAGGAGGGGGAGGGGACACCGCCCGCCCCGCCGCUCCCCCCGCCCGCCCCGGCGCCCCCAGAGGCGGGCGGUCGCCGAUUGCUCGCCCGCCGCCCCUUGCCCUGCCGAGACGGCGCUCCCCUCCCCGCGGCGCAGGCCUAGGCCGCCGGCGGGCGGGCGGCUACCUGCGCUGGAAGUCCGUCUCGAAGGGGGCCAGUGUGCCUCUAUGUCCUGAGGUUGGUAGUUCAAGUCUUCCUGAUGCAGAUGAGAGAGGAGGCUUACUUAUGACAAGUCAUCAGCCCCUGAGGUCUUCACAAGAAGAACAAUAAUGUUUGUUUUGGAGGUUCUAAUUCCUCAGUCUUGGCUGCAGAGUUAAAAUACCGAAUUGCUCUUACAGUUCAUGAAUUAUCUGUUGUGUCUUGACCUACACACUCCUUCAGCUGUCUCCUCAGUAACUCCUGUGUUGUCAUCUGUUUCAACACAUGCACAAGAAAAACUCACAAAGGUUUCCAUUCUGGGAGCUGAGUCAUUUUCUAAAUCAGGACCAUCAUCCUUUGAACACAAAAUCUUCCUCUGCAGAACUUAAGGGCAAGUAUUACGUAUGUGAUUUUACAUAGGAUGUUUUAGCCUCUCUUACUUUAAAUUAUGUGUCUGUCUGACUGAAAAGCACAUAAUUUAACAGCAUCCACUAAAAUUUUCUAUUGUAUUCAUAUCCUAUAUGUUAUUUAAUGCCAAAAACUUAGUUAUCUUUCUCAGUUCUGUGUUCUGUUUCCUUUUAUUUUUUAAUCACGAUUUCAAAACAUACAUCUUCACUGGUUUGGUUUUUGUACAUACAUCUAAUUUCUGUGUACUGUGACUACAUUCCUGUCAUCCAGGAAACCUCCAGUGCUUAAGGAACAUAACCUCCUGUACAAUCAAAUUGUUAUUCAAAUCGUACCAUUAAAAGACACUCACGGUGAAUAUCAAUCUGGCUGAAGUCAUAUGAUAUACCUAACAUUUAAAAGGUCUGACUGAUGAGGACAUAUAUUAGACAUCCUGAAAGUGAGGAUAAGGCAAGACCAGCUGUUUUUUCUUAUCCUUUCCUAACACUAUAAAAUACCAUACACAUUCUUUGUAUUUCUAAAUGAACAGACUUGCUUUUAAUCGUGUCUCUGUGCUUGCCAAAAAUGUAUACUCCAGUAGGUUGAAACCACUCUAGCACUAUUACAAGUUAUUAACACUAUGAUUUUUCCUGUUUGUCUCCAAAUUGCUGGGUUACUUGCAUCUCCGAAUAAAUUUACGUGAAGACUUCUGAAGAACUCUGUGUUUUGAGUUGUAUUACAUUGUUUGAAAUAAAACAUUUCAGCUGAUUUCUCCAGUAUAAUUCUUUUCAUAUUUUAGGAAUUUUCAUGCUAGCUCUGUUUUUAUAAAUACUGCCAUGAUUAAAUUUGUAAUCUCCCUUUUUUACGUUUUCUUCCUUGCUUUAUUUGCUUGCUUAUCUUCUCCCUAUCACUUUUCCAGCUCUUUUUUGGUUUAAUGUGCUUUUUUUCCCCU